CUCCCACAAUUAUAAUGGAAUUGUUCACAAUUUGCCAUGCAAAUUCUAUAUGGGAUUCUGGCUUUGGCAUAGGUGCCAAUUCUUUCCAUUGUUUACCAUCACCAUCUAGCAUGUAAACAUCACCGUAUACAACCUAGACAGAACAGAUACAAAGAACAAUAUUAAUGAAGUGUGAUAGACAUUUGUCAACAUUUCUAUAAUAUCUUUAUAUCUAUUUCCAUGUUCUACAGAUUAUACUGAGAUUUAAACAAUCAAACAUUUUUUUUGUCUUGAUUGCAUUAUAAAAGUUAUAUUGUGAGCUGAGAAUGACCGGCAAAGAUCACAGUCAGUUUUGGAUUAUGAUAUGAUUGCAGAAAAAAUAGCAAUAUAAUUCCAUACCUGCUCCUUGCUUACACAAUGGAACAUAGGGGAUCCAGGUAUUGCAACAAAAUCACCUUCUUGUCCACCUAUGACAAAAAGUUUGUCAUUAGCAACAACACAGGCCCUAAAAUCACAAUAAGUUUGUCAGGACUCUAUAAAUGAUCACAUCAGAAAAGCACCAAACAAUAGGAAUGGAUCCAAACUCCCAAAAAAUAUUUCACUAAAUAAAAAAUCUGAAUAAAGAAAGGUAGUAGAGCUGUAGAGUAUAGAUUGAGAAACAAAAAACAUAGAUAAAAAAUGAUGAAUAAAACAAAUUCUAAACCCGACCUAUGAGGACCGCCAUGUGGUAUUGGUAUCUCUGGUCUCCAUUCUGUCUCCAAAGCCUUUCCAUUUUUUACAGCAAGACUCCAAUGCUCUAAUCCCAUCUGAUACCGAUCCUCUUUGCUUCCACCCAUAACAUGAAGCCUACCCCUCCAAAGUUGAGUGGCCGGAGCAUACCUAAAACCAUUGAUUCAUAUCUAAGAUCAAGCUCUGUUUAUUUAAAUAAUGAAUGAUCAAUUUCAUCAGAGAGAAGAAAUGUAAUGAUACCUAGGAACAGGCAAAGAAAGAAGAUCAUGCCACUCCUUAGUCUUCGUGUCUAGGACAAAGCAUCGUGAAAUAGAACUUCUGCAUUGCGGACCAUAUUGCCCAGAAAUAACGUAUAUAUAUCUUCCAUCUGUUACCAUUCCUAGAUGUGAAUGUGCCAUUUCUUUCGGCAUGUCAAAUCUCCCGUCCCAUGUAUUGCUUGUAAAAUUAUAAACAUCCACAUGUGAAUAUACCUGUAAAAAUUUACAUUAUAUCAUGAGUUUUACAGUUUUACUUUUACCUGAUUUGAAUUCAUAUGAUGAUCUGAUGAUUUAUCAGGUAAAUGAUCAGCAAUGAUUUGUUAGAGGUGAUUGCUUAAUUCUUAAAUUCCUCAGUAGUAAUAUAAAAUAGGGAUGUCUCACGACAGCAGUUUUUCUUGAUUCCUACAAAUGAAUAAAAAAAACCCAAGUCGGCAUCAGAUGAUCCGAAGUUUUGUUUAUAGUUGUUUCUUUUUAAAAAAGAAAACAGUGCGGGAGAAAAUUCCCUAGGACGCCACAAUGAAACUAUAGAUCAAUGUCAAAGACUCAAAAGUCAAAACUAAGGUUUUUAAAGCUAACCACCUAUAUUUUGCUGAACGAAAAUACCUUUAUAAUUAAUCAAAAUUUUCGGAAAUGCCAUUGGAUGUUUUUGAACACGGGUCUAUUGGGAGGUGACUAAGGUUGGGGAUUGGGAGGGAGAAGGAGAGAAUUGGAGAUGAUGGGUGAAGAUGUGGCUGAAGAGGAGAAUAUUCCGGUCUGCGUUCCGCCAAAGAAUGCUUUGUUACUUAUGAGAUGUAGAUCUGAUCCAUCGAGGGUCUCAGCUCUGAAGAACAGAUUCGAACUGGAAGUUGAAGAAGACGAAGAUGAUGACGCGGAGGAAGAUGACCGGAGAACACGAAGAAAAAGAGGUGUCCAGGACGUUGCAGCGGAGGUGAUGGAGGAAGAUGAGAAUGUGAGAUCUUCUAAAUUGAAUCGAAAAUGAAGGAGAGAAAACAAUACUUACAUGAUCAAUCGAACCGUAUCCGGCAAACACAUACAAAAGUUCCCCAAUCUGGACCGAGGCUCCAUCCAGCCGCACCACGGGCGCUUCUGGCAUCUCCUCCCAUUCCAGCAUUGGAGCCGGCAAAUCUGUAAACGUAGCAUUAAGAUUUUUCCUCACAACAGUUAAAUCUUCCUUCUUCACCAUCGAUUCUCCUCCAACUUCCUGCAACAAACAAUGAAUCUGAAUAUUAAAUCGGUGAAGUCUUAUUAAAGAUGGUAAAACUCGAGGGUUGAGUCACUCACCGUAUCGGAAAGGUUGUUGACGGAAGGGAGUUGACUGUUACCGAGGCUUGCGGGAGUGGACGAAGAAUAUAUGACAGUAGAGGACGAAGAUGUGAAGAACAAAUCGGUGAUGAAAACUAUUCCGACGAACAAUACGCAGGCGAUAGGGAUGAUGUACAUCCUCCCGCUCCACCAAUUCUGAUGAUUCUUUCCACCAUAUUUCGCCAUAAGGAUUAAGGAUCCGAAUAUAUCUGAUCACUGAGAACUAUGAUAUUUUCUUACCGUGAUCGGAUGACUGGUUAAUUCAGUGUCCAUUAAUAACGUGAUGGUGCGUGAUAAAUAAAACACAAUUGGAAUUGGGCAUGCAUGAAUCAGGAUGAAUGAAGGUGGGACCUACCAACUGAUUGCUUAUAUAGGAUGACAAUGACCCAAUAAAAACUUAAGUAUAUUUAUUCCAUCAUUUACAACUUAUAGUAAAUCCUAAAAAUACCUCAAAACUAGAUUUGGAAUUUAGUUAUACAAAAAGAUUUACGGGAACUAUUAAAAUUUCUGAGGAUUUAAAAUUAUUCAGAGACAAGGGCAGUAAUAUCCGAACUUUUAAAAUAUAUUUAUUAGACAAGGAAAUUAAUUCAAUUUGUUACAAUAAUUAUUAAAGUUGUUCAAAGUCUUACGAAACUUUCAUUUAAUUUUCUACCCUGAUUUAACCGAUAAUAUUUAUAUGACUCUUUCUUCUUUUUAUUUAUAAAAAGGUCUAGUAAGUUGCAAGAAAUAGCCAAUGCUACCCUUGACUUUAGUGACAAUUUUAGUUACUUUGUAUUUAAUACUUUGAUUAUUAUAGAAUGAAAUAAUAAUGUUGUAGUCUUGUAGAUGUGUCAUGUUGAAAUUUGAAAAAAUAAAAUCUAUAUAUUAACUAUUAAUAGUAAAAAAAAAUUAACAUUUCAAUAAUUAAAAUCAAAGGAAAAUUCUGUUUCAGCCCAUGAUUUCGUAGGGAAGAUUUCACGUUGAGAUUAGACCUUUGUGGUUGCACCACGUUGAGAGCACUGCGACGAAUGUCGUUGAAUCCGAUGUCGUUGUCAUCGUUGCAUGACGUAGGCUUUGAUCAUAGAAUUCCAGGUAAUCAAAUCGGGAUCGGAACAUCGUCGGGCACAAAACAUGGGCUGAAAUUUAAUUGUCCCUAAAAUCAAUACCCAUUCUCGGGCAACUUUGUAGAUUUAUAUUAAACUUGAAGGGUUUUAUUGAAAAUUGUAAAUAAUUUUUGAGGACAUUGAGAUUUGAUCAGAAAGGAACAUAGCGGUUUACAGACCGGGAAUUUACAAGGUAAAUUCUAGCCGUUUGAAUUUACAAGGUAAUAUAUGAAUUUGACUAUUGGUAAUUUGAUAUAUAUAUCAUUCAAAGAUUUUGCUCUUUUAGGAAGAAUUUCCCAUGCUUUCAAAAUAAAGUUACACCUUAUACAAUCAUACUGCCAUUUCAUCUUCCAUGGAUUCUGCUGGUACAGAGACCUGGAAAAUAGAAAGAAUACACCAUCAUGUGAGAGAGAGGGUUACGUGUGUGUGUGUGCACGCGACCGAUUUGUGAAUUCACACACCAUCAGUUUCACUUCUUUUUUCAACAAGUAUUCACAAAUGUAAUCUAGUUCUGUACGUAGCACCAAUCAAUUUUUUAGGUGCAGGAUCAUUUGGACCUUUGUCGCGUUGCCCUGAUGUGAAAUAUAACCAUCCUUUCCAGUAUCCGACCAAUGUAGUUUUUACACGAAAGGGCAUCCGUCCUAUCACUGACCAUUCCUGUAGUUACGAUCAAAUAAACAGUUCAGCCAACAUUACAUUUGAUCACCCACGACAUUUACAAAGAGUGUGUAAACUAGAAGAAAAUAAGGAAGCUAGAAGUUUAAGCAUUAGGGGGGAAAUAGAAUAAGAAUGAGACUAUUUCAUACCAUGGUAUCUAGAUUGAAUCGUAUAACUUCCCCAAUCAGAAUCAUUCUUUUCGUCACAGGGUGUUUAUCUGUGGUUCCUCCCACAAUUAUAAUGGAAUUGUUCACAAUUUGCCAUGCAAAUUCUAUAUGGGAUUCUGGCUUUGGCAUAGGUGCCAAUUCCUUCCAUUGUUUUCCAUCACCAUCUAGCAUGUAAACAUCACCGUAUACAACCUACAUAAAACAGAUACAUAGAAUAAUAUCAAUGAAGUAUUGAAGUAUAUAUAAUAAACAUUUGUCAACAUUUCUAUAAUAUCCUUAUAUCUAUUUCCAUGUUCUACAGUUUAUAACGUUUUUUUGUCUUGAUUGCAUUGGAAAAAUAUAUUGUGAGUUGAGAGUGAUCAGCAAAGAUCAUAGUCAGUUUUGUAUUAUGUUAUGAUUGCAGAAAAAAUAGUAACAUGGUUCCAUUACUUCCAUACC
This 4611-nucleotide long non-coding RNA is filed under the name Zostera marina. RNAcentral describes it as "long non-coding RNA (ZMAR_LNC004964)". Lineage: Eukaryota; Viridiplantae; Streptophyta; Magnoliopsida; Alismatales; Zosteraceae. The record is from RNAcentral.